Molecule: long non-coding RNA, 720 nt
Organism: Oncorhynchus tshawytscha (Chinook salmon)
Lineage: Eukaryota; Metazoa; Chordata; Actinopteri; Salmoniformes; Salmonidae
Source: Ensembl
AUAAUGGCCCUUUCUUACGUCUUUAUCCACACUGAUAUCUUGCUGAAGCUUUUACAGGCCCCGUUUCCACUUAAAUGCCUGAAGGUAGGAAACCUUCCUGCUAAGACAUUGCAAAGACAGUGGCAUUACAAGGACGCUGCUGUAUUGGGACUGUAAAAGCUUUGGAUCAGAUGCUGUACGUGAGGGACAUUUGUCAGAUGAGCCAAGGAGGAGGACAGAAGAGAACAGCAGGCCAGUGGAGCACUUGGAACAGCGGAAUCCAGAGGAAACUGGUAGAGGGAAGAGGAUGAUUUAGGUGACCCAAACACAGGCCCAAAACAAGACGAGAGAGGAGGGUGGACAAGAGACAGCAACAUAUACGUCUAAGAGACAGCAACAGAAGAGGGCAGAAAAGACAGACAGCAACAGAUGACAAAGAGAAAGCGAUGGAGAGAGGCAGAGGAGGGAUGCCCCCAGAACCCUCUACUGGCUUUGGGCUAAACAGCAUAUCGAUUGCGCAACCAGGGGUGGAAAGACCUUGGAUCAUUGUUACUCUAACUUCCGCGACGCAUAUAAGGCCCUGCCCCGCCCCCCUUUCGGAAAAGCUGACCACGACUCCAUUUUGUUGAUCCCUGCCUACAGACAGAAACUAAAACAAGAAGCUCCCACGCUGAGGUCUGUCCAACGCUGGUCUGCCCAAGCUGACUCCACCCUCCAAGACUGCUUCCAUCACGUGGACUG